This 253-nucleotide long non-coding RNA is filed under the name Elaeis guineensis (African oil palm). RNAcentral describes it as "long non-coding RNA (EGUI_LNC064009)". The record is from RNAcentral. Lineage: Eukaryota; Viridiplantae; Streptophyta; Magnoliopsida; Arecales; Arecaceae.
CUUUCUAGCCUCACGCCCUCUCCUUUCUCUCUCCCUCACAUCUUCAUACCCAAGAGUUGGGCAUUCUUUGGCCUUCACACCCAAAGGAGUUGGGCGUCCUCCAUUUAUAUGCCUAAAAAGUUGGGCGUUCUACCUCCAAGUAAGAAAAAAGACAUUCUCUCUUCUUCUUCCAUCUUUUCUUCAAAGUGCAUGCUGGUUUCUCAGUGAAGAAAUAAGAGAGGAGCAUCCUAGUUGUUCCCAUGGAUACCAAUAG